This 949-nucleotide ribosomal RNA is filed under the name fungal sp. NIOCC F56. RNAcentral describes it as "SSU rRNA". It matches the Rfam family "Eukaryotic small subunit ribosomal RNA", at positions 72 to 1030 of the family's 1831-position model. The record is from RNAcentral. Lineage: Eukaryota; Fungi.
CAUUAUACCGCGAACUGCGAAUGGCUCAUUAAAUCAGUUAUCGUUUAUUUGAUAGUACCUUACUACUUGGAUAACCGUGGUAAUUCCUAGAGCUAAUACAUGCUUAAAACCCCGACUCACGGAGGGGUGUAUUUAUUAGAUUAAAAACCAAUGCCCUUCGGGGCUUUUUGGUGAUUCAUAAUAACUUCUCGAAUCGCAUGGCCUUGUGCCGGCGAUGGUUCAUUCAAAUUUCUGCCCUAUCAACUUUCGAUGGCAGGGUCUUGGCCUGCCAUGGUUACAACGGGUAACGGAGGGUUAGGGCUCGACCCCGGAGAAGGAGCCUGAGAAACGGCUACUACAUCCAAGGAAGGCAGCAGGCGCGCAAAUUACCCAAUCCCGAUACGGGGAGGUAGUGACAAUAAAUACUGAUACAGGGCUCUUUUGGGUCUUGUAAUUGGAAUGAGUACAAUUUAAAUCCCUUAACGAGGAACAAUUGGAGGGCAAGUCUGGUGCCAGCAGCCGCGGUAAUUCCAGCUCCAAUAGCGUAUAUUAAAGUUGUUGCAGUUAAAAAGCUCGUAGUUGAACCUUGGGCCUGGCUGGCCGGUCCGCCUCACCGCGUGCACUGGUUCGGCCGGGCCUUUCCCUCUGGGGAAUCCCAUGCCCUUCACUGGGUGUGGCGAGGAACCAGGACUUUUACUGUGAAAAAAUUAGAGUGUUCAAAGCAGGCCUAUGCUCGAAUACAUUAGCAUGGAAUAAUAGAAUAGGACGUGUGGUUCUAUUUUGUUGGUUUCUAGGACCGCCGUAAUGAUUAAUAGGGACAGUCGGGGGCAUCAGUAUUCAAUUGUCAGAGGUGAAAUUCUUGGAUUUAUUGAAGACUAACUACUGCGAAAGCAUUUGCCAAGGAUGUUUUCAUUAAUCAGGAACGAAAGUUAGGGGAUCGAAGACGAUCAGAUACCGUCGUAGUCUUAAC